AUGCUGUGCAAGGUGCAGGAGCAGAGCCAGGAGCUGCAGCUCUGCUUCCCAGAGCCAGCAGCAGCUGAGAAGCGUUCGCAGCAGCCCAGGGCUUUGGCCAGGGAGCCCUCCCCACGCUCGCCAGCAUGUUGUGAAAUUGCUGCCCCAGCCUGUGGCCCCCAGGAGGAACUUGUGUGGUUUCAGAAGCCACAAGUGUCAAAGGGGCAUUUGCUGGCCCCAGGGCCCUCCUGGCCCCCUGACCAAGGGGGCUGUGGCUCCUGGCCUGCCCAGGCUGACCCCACUCAGACCUGUCCAGGUGACAGGGCAGCAUAUCCUCACACCAGGACCACUGUUUGGCUCUGUGCUGUCCCUACUUUGGUCCCCUUUAACUCUGCCCUUAGGGCAGGUCUGCCAGCAGGUAGGGCUUCAGAGAGCUGGGGCUGGCCCCUGUGGUUUGGGGGGCCCUGGUGCCCCCUGUAUCCCUCUGCCAUGCCCUGGCACUGCUCUGCUGAGGGGUCCAGCCAUGCACAGGGAGGGAGGGGGCCUGUUGGGGCAGCAGCCAGGCUGUGGUUGGGUGGAAGGAUCCGCAGAGGGGUUGGGGCCCUCCCAAGAACCCAGCCAGGCUGCUCCCCCCACCCUGUUUACAGUGUCAGCACCUCUGUGAGCCAUGCAGAGCUACAGGCCAGACAUGUGUUUUCAUUUAGCCCAGACAAUGACUCGGCCAGUGCUGGGCUGCGCUCGUCUCUAGACAGGACCUGUCCCCAGUGCUGCAGACAGGCCUGGCUUUGGCCCCUGCACGUGGCCUGGGGAUCGUGCAGCACCUGCCCCAGGGCACCCAGGAUGCAUUUGCAGCCCACACUGGGUGCCAGCUGGCCAGAUUCCAUGCUGGCCACUCAACCAUCGCUGGCACUUGGCAAUCUCUCCUGGCCUCACUCACCCUCCUGGCCUCACUCACCCUCCCAGCCCAGCACUGGCAGCUCCNNNNNNNNNNNNNNNNNNNNUCUUAUCCCCUGGGCUGGAGUACCCCCGAGUCCCUGCCGUGAGCAGCAGCACCAGGGCCUCAGGCAACUGGGCCAGCAGGAGUCCUGCUGCUGCUGGAGCCUCUGCAGACCGUGGGCCUCACAAUCUCCAGGUGUCAUCCAGCAUCCAGCACUGUCAGUGCUGUCACCUCCCACGAGUUCCCUGCAGGCUCAGGCAGGAUUUGGGCUAGGUCCAGCUGCCCAGUUCUGCUGUUUCUUCUCAUCCUGGAGGUUGAACAUCUCUGUUACCCCCCUCUUCUGCGUGUAUCCAUGGCAGUGCUGUGCAGGAGGCUGGCUCAGGCACAUGAUUUGUGGCUGUGGUGGUGGCUGUCCUGCCAACACAUGCCCAUGA
Molecule: long non-coding RNA, 1350 nt
Filed under: Serinus canaria (Common canary)
Lineage: Eukaryota; Metazoa; Chordata; Aves; Passeriformes; Fringillidae
Description: lncRNA (ENSSCAG00000011766.1)
Source: RNAcentral